AGGACGAACGCUGGCGGCGUGCUUAACACAUGCAAGUCGAGCGGUAAGGCCUUUCGGGGUACACGAGCGGCGAACGGGUGAGUAACACGUGGGUGAUCUGCCCUGCACUUCGGGAUAAGCCUGGGAACUGGGUCUAAUACCGGAUAUGACCUCCUAUCGCAUGGUGGGUGGUGGAAAGAUUUAUCGGUGCAGGAUGGGCCCGCGGCCUAUCAGCUUGGUUGGUGGGUAUGGCCUACAGGCGACGACGGUAGCCGACCUGAGAGGGUCGACCGGGACCACGACGUCGGGACGUAGAGACGACCGGCCCAGACUCCGUACGGGAGGCAGGCAGGUGGGAAUAUGCACAGUGGGACUAAAGCCUAGAGUGACGAGCCGACGCCGCGGU
This 385-nucleotide ribosomal RNA is filed under the name uncultured soil bacterium. Its description in RNAcentral is "bacterial SSU rRNA". It matches the Rfam family "Bacterial small subunit ribosomal RNA", at positions 26 to 403 of the family's 1533-position model. The record is from RNAcentral.